GACGAACGCUGGCGGCGUGCUUAACACAUGCAAGUCGAGCGGUAAGGCCCUUUCGGGGGUACACGAGCGGCGAACGGGUGAGUAACACGUGGGUGACCUGCCCUCAGCUCUGGGAUAAGCCUGGGAAACCGGGUCUAAUACUGGAUAUGACUCCAUGACGCAUGUUGUGGGGUGGAAAGCCUUGUGCGGCUGAGGAUGGGCCCGCGGCCUAUCAGCUUGUUGGUGGGGUGAUGGCCUACCAAGGCGACGACGGGUAGCCGGCCUGAGAGGCGACCGGCCACACUGGGACUGAGACACGGCCCAGACUCCUACGGGAGGCAGCAGUGGGGAAUCUUGCGCAAUGGGCGAAAGCCUGACGCAGCGACG
RNAcentral lists this ribosomal RNA (366 nucleotides) under uncultured bacterium. Its description in RNAcentral is "bacterial SSU rRNA". It matches the Rfam family "Bacterial small subunit ribosomal RNA", at positions 28 to 396 of the family's 1533-position model. The record is from RNAcentral.